This 253-nucleotide ribosomal RNA is filed under the name uncultured bacterium. RNAcentral's name for it is "partial 16S ribosomal RNA". It matches the Rfam family "Bacterial small subunit ribosomal RNA", at positions 524 to 776 of the family's 1533-position model. The record is from RNAcentral.
UACGGAGGAUCCAAGCGUUAUCCGGAUUCAUUGGGUUUAAAGGGUGCGUAGGCGGACUGAUAAGUCAGCGGUGAAAUCCCACGGCUCAACUGUGGAACUGCCGUUGAUACUGUUAGUCUUGAAUGCAGAUGAUGUGGGCGGAAUAUGACAUGUAGUGGUGAAAUACUUAGAUAUGUCAUAGAACACCGAUUGCGAAGGCAGCUCACAAAACUGUGAUUGACGCUGAGGCACGAAAGCGUGGGGAUCAAACAGG